CAAUAGCGUAUAUUUAAGUUGUUGCAGUUAAAAAGCUCGUAGUCGGAUUUUGGCUGAGAACGAACGGUCCGCCGUUAGGCGUGCACUGUUUGGUCUCAGCUUCCUGGUGAGGAGGUGUGCUUCACGGCCACUUAGUCACCGUGGUUACUUUGAAAAAAUUAGAGUGUUCAAAGCGGGCUUACGCUUGAAUAUAUUAGCAUGGAAUAACACCAUAGGACUCCUGUCCUAUUUCGUUGGUCUCGGGACGGGAGUAAUGAUUAAGAGGAACAGUUGGGGGCAUUCGUAUUUCAUUGUCAGAGGUGAAAUUCUUGGAUUUAUGAAAGACGAACUUCUGCGAAAGCAUUUGCCAAGGAUGUUUUCAUUGA
RNAcentral lists this ribosomal RNA (365 nucleotides) under uncultured eukaryote. Its description in RNAcentral is "partial 18S ribosomal RNA". It matches the Rfam family "Eukaryotic small subunit ribosomal RNA", at positions 592 to 976 of the family's 1831-position model. The record is from RNAcentral.